AUGGAGCCAGUCAGUGCCUCCAAUGUGGUCGACGACGAGUGCAUCGGGGAUUCGGGGUCGUCUUCAAGAAGGACAAGACCAGGGCCUCCAAUGGAUCAGGGGUUUGUGCAGGUCAUCACCAUGGAUGCGUCUUUCUGUAGAAUUGGGGAGGUGACGUUACAGCAGGAUAUAUCUCGUGCAAGGCUCUGGUUCUUUGAGGGCCAAAAGAAGAUCUUGCUUUAUAGUGAGAGAUCUCACUUCUUCCACGGAUACAAGGUCAUAGCAUCUAAAAGGCCCUCCCUUGAGUACCUCCCUCGAAUCAGGGGAGGACAUCAUUUGGUCGUCUACUCAUUGCGAGGGAGAAAAUAUUUCUAUCCAAAGCUUGUAAAUAUGCUCGGUGAAUCAGCAAAUCCCAGGUGUAAUGUGUUUUUUUCUCGUCUAAACCUCCUUAAGCUGGAGCAGAUCGUCGGAAUGUCGUCUGCACGGAGGCUGAUUUCUUCCGACAAGGAUAUGUUUGUCUUCUGUUGA
RNAcentral lists this ribosomal RNA (507 nucleotides) under Triticum aestivum (bread wheat). Its description in RNAcentral is "partial small subunit ribosomal RNA". The record is from RNAcentral. Lineage: Eukaryota; Viridiplantae; Streptophyta; Magnoliopsida; Poales; Poaceae.